This 245-nucleotide ribosomal RNA is filed under the name uncultured bacterium. RNAcentral's name for it is "partial 16S ribosomal RNA". It matches the Rfam family "Bacterial small subunit ribosomal RNA", at positions 526 to 771 of the family's 1533-position model. The record is from RNAcentral.
CGUAGGUGGCAAGCGUUGUCCGGAAUUAUUGGGCGUAAAGCGCGCGCAGGCGGCUUCUUAAGUCCAUCUUAAAAGUGCGGGGCUUAACCCCGUGAUGGGAUGGAAACUGAGAGGCUGGAGUAUCGGAGAGGAAAGUGGAAUUCCUAGUGUAGCGGUGAAAUGCGUAGAGAUUAGGAAGAACACCAGUGGCGAAGGCGACUUUCUGGACGACAACUGACGCUGAGGCGCGAAAGCGUGGGGAGCAA